RNAcentral lists this ribosomal RNA (465 nucleotides) under uncultured bacterium. RNAcentral's name for it is "partial 16S ribosomal RNA". It matches the Rfam family "Bacterial small subunit ribosomal RNA", at positions 28 to 507 of the family's 1533-position model. The record is from RNAcentral.
GACGAACGCUGGCGGCGUGCUUAACACAUGCAAGUCGAACGGAAAGGCCCUGCUUGCAGGGUACUCGAGUGGCGAACGGGUGAGUAACACGUGGGUGAUCUGCCCUGCACUUCGGGAUAUGCCUGGGAAACUGGGUCUAAUACCGGAUAGGAGCCAUUUUGAGUGUGAUGGGUGGAUAGUUUUUUCGGUGUAGGAUGAGCUCGCGGCCUAUCUGCUUGUUGGUGGGGUAAUGGCCUACCAAGGCGGCGACGGGUGGCCGGCCUGAGAGGGUGGACGGCCAAAUUGGGACUGAGAUACGGCCCAGACUCCUACGGGAGGCAGCAGGGGGGAAUAUUGCACAAUGGGCGCAAGCCUGAUGCAGCGACGCCGCGUGGGGGAUGACGGCCUUCGGGUUGUAAACUCCUUUCGCUAGGGACGAAGCUUUUUGUGACGGUACCUAGAUAAGAAGCACCGGCUAACUACGUG